UUACGGUCACAUCACCUUCAAACACCGGACCUCGGACAAUCAUCGAAGUUAAACAACGUUGAGCCUGGUCAGUACCUAGACGGGUGACCACUUGGGAAUACCAGGUGCUGUAA
Non-coding RNA from Acanthosepion pharaonis, 113 nucleotides. The record is from the annotation of a GenBank genome assembly. NCBI's taxonomy places the organism in Eukaryota, Metazoa, Mollusca, Cephalopoda, Sepiida, Sepiidae.